Molecule: ribosomal RNA, 253 nt
Filed under: uncultured bacterium
Lineage: Bacteria
Description: partial 16S ribosomal RNA
Rfam family: Bacterial small subunit ribosomal RNA
Source: RNAcentral
GACGAACCGAGCGAACGUUGUUCGGAAUCACUGGGCUUAAAGGGCGCGUAGGCGGCUUGCCAAGUCAGGGGUGAAAUCCUGCAGCUUAACUGUAGAAGGGCCUUUGAUACUGGCGAGCUCGAGGGAGGUAGGGGUAUGUGGAACUUCCGGUGGAGCGGUGAAAUGCGUUGAUAUCGGAAGGAACGCCGGUGGCGAAAGCGACGUACUGGACCUCUUCUGACGCUGAGGCGCGAAAGCUAGGGGAGCAAACGGG